GCGUCAGUAUUGCAACGGUUCAGCACGCUCUUCCGGAAAGAGUGAGGUCUGGGUUCGCAUCCCGGCUGACGCA
Molecule: non-coding RNA, 73 nt
Organism: Parelaphostrongylus tenuis
Lineage: Eukaryota; Metazoa; Nematoda; Chromadorea; Rhabditida; Metastrongylidae
Source: the annotation of a GenBank genome assembly